RNAcentral lists this ribosomal RNA (266 nucleotides) under uncultured Planctomycetales bacterium. RNAcentral describes it as "partial 16S ribosomal RNA". It matches the Rfam family "Bacterial small subunit ribosomal RNA", at positions 565 to 828 of the family's 1533-position model. The record is from RNAcentral. Lineage: Bacteria; Pseudomonadati; Planctomycetota; Planctomycetia; Planctomycetales.
GAGCACGUAGGUGGGUUUGUAAGUCAGAUGUGAAAGCCUUCUGUUCAACGGAAGAAUUGCAUCUGAAACUGCGAGUCUUGAGUGUAGGAGGGGAGAAUGGAACUUCUGGUGGAGCGGUGAAAUGCGUAGAUAUCAGAAGGAACGCCGGCGGCGAAAAGCGAUUCUCUGGCCUAUUACUGACACUCAGUGUGCGAAAGCUAGGGGAGCAAACGGGAUUAGAUACCCCGGUAGUCCUAGCCGUAAACGAUGGGCACUAAGUAGAGGGG